UAGAAGAAAGUUGGUUACCGUGGCAACCUGAAGGGAUUCCCCGGUCUCCGGCAUCUAGUCUGCAGUGAGAGAGAUCGUAAAAAUGACAGGGUGCACUGAAGCAUGCAGAACAGUGAAAGUGAGAAGAUACACAGUGGCAAGCACAACGGCAAGCUGAGGAAGGAAGCCCGCCAGCCACAUCACCAGCACAAUCUCCAUCCAACCCUCAAGUCCCUGAACCCCAACAAAAUAUCUCCCCUUCCUCAUCCAAAACCUCUCCAACCCCCACACCCUCUCUUUCCCAAACACCAUCUCUGCCCCCAACCCCCUCUCUGACACAAACCCCCUCUCUGAACCCCUCUCCUUCUGUGGCACAAAGCCCCUCUCCACCUCCUUCCCCCUCUCUGACACACACACCCUCUUCGCCCCCCUCCCCUUCUGUGGCACAAAGCCCUUCUCCACCACCCUCCCCCUCUCUGACACACACCCCCUCUUUUCCCCCUCCCCUUCUGUGGCCCAAACACCCUCUCCACCACCUCCCCUUAUUUGACACAAACCACCUCUCCGGACUCCUCCUCCUCUGUGUCCCAACCCACCUCUCCGGCCUCCUCCCCCUCUGUGGCCCAAUCCACCUCUUUGGCCUCCUCCCCCUCUCAAUCAAACCCACCCUCUGGAACCAGCUCACACUUCCAUCCUCCUUUCCCAAUACAGACUCCUUCCCCCAUCCAGACUCCUUCCCCCAUCCAGACUCCUUCCCCCAUCCAGACUCCUUCCCCACCCACUGAAUGGGCAGCAGAGGCCCCGGAGGAAAUUCAGGGAGGUGCACAUGUGGCUGAGGAGAAUGUUGCAGUUGGAGAUCCCACCAGUUUGCCAGGGAUUGUGGCCAGCCUUAAAGGAAACUUGAGGGGCAUAAUUGCGGACCUAGACAAAUUAGAAAAAAAAAUCUAAUUUUAAAAAUGUAAAUUUUUGUUUAUAGCUUUUUUCAGUAAAAAAAAAGUUGAAAAAUUUGAAUAAAACAAAAAAUUGUUGUUGAAGUUAA
Long non-coding RNA from Pseudophryne corroboree (corroboree frog), 1018 nucleotides. RefSeq lists it as uncharacterized. The record is from RefSeq and is a predicted model, not a curated record. Lineage: Eukaryota; Metazoa; Chordata; Amphibia; Anura; Myobatrachidae. The transcript has 3 exons.